Molecule: small nucleolar RNA, 132 nt
Organism: Bombina bombina (fire-bellied toad)
Lineage: Eukaryota; Metazoa; Chordata; Amphibia; Anura; Bombinatoridae
Product: small nucleolar RNA SNORD94
Exons: 1
Source: RefSeq, a predicted model, not a curated record
GUGGCAAUGGUUGGCGCAGGGGCACUAACCUCAGCUGGAUAAUGGGAGCUGAAUGUAAGGGAUCACCUUAUAACCUGAAUGUAUCAGUGGACUAGGAGGCGCUCAUGACUACGCAGCCAGAAUCUGAGCUGU